RNAcentral lists this ribosomal RNA (460 nucleotides) under uncultured bacterium. RNAcentral describes it as "partial 16S ribosomal RNA". It matches the Rfam family "Bacterial small subunit ribosomal RNA", at positions 338 to 795 of the family's 1533-position model. The record is from RNAcentral.
CCUACGGGAGGCAGCAGUGAGGCAUAUUGGUCAAUGGACGAGAGUCUGAACCAGCCAAGUAGCGUGAAGGAUGACUGCCCUAUGGGUUGUAAACUUCUUUUAUAUGGGAAUAAAACGUUCCACGUGUGGGAUUUUGUAUGUACCAUAUGAAUAAGGAUCGGCUAACUCCGUGCCAGCAGCCGCGGUAAUACGGAGGAUCCGAGCGUUAUCCGGAUUUAUUGGGUUUAAAGGGAGCGUAGGUGGAUUGUUAAGUCAGUUGUGAAAGUUUGCGGCUCAACCGUAAAAUUGCAGUUGAAACUGGCAGUCUUGAGUACAGUAGAGGUGGGCCGAAUUCGUGGUGUAGCGGUGAAAUGCUUAGAUAUCACGAAGAACUCCGAUUGCGAAGGCAGUUCACUGGACUGCAACUGACACUGAGGCUCGAAAGUGUGGGUAUCAAACAGGAUUAGAUACCCUAGUAGUC